CGCAGUGGCAGUUCAAGUCUGCUGUCAAAGACCGGGGCUUAACCUCGGAAAGGCAGUGGAAACUGAACAGCUAGAGUAUGGUAGGGGCAAAGGGAAUUCCUGGUGUAGCGGUGAUUUGCGUAGAGAUCAGGAAGAACAUCGGUGGCGAAGGCGCUUUGCUGGACCAUAACUGACACUCAGGGACGAAAGCUAGGGAGCGAAUGGGAUUAGAUACCCCAGUAGUCCUACGCCGUAAACGAUGGAUACUAGGUGUUGUCUGUAUCGACCCGGACAGUGCCGUAGCUAACGCGUUAAGUAUCCCGCCUGGGGAGUACGCAGGCAACUGUGAAACUCAAAGGAAUUGACGGGGGCCCGCACAAGCGGUGGAGUAUGUGGUUUAAUUCGAUGCAACGCGAAGAACCUUACCAGGACUUGACAUGUCGCGGAUCCUUUGGAAACAGAGGAGUGCCUUCGGGAGCGCGAACACAGGUGGUGCAUGGCUGUCGUCAGCUCGUG
RNAcentral lists this ribosomal RNA (495 nucleotides) under uncultured bacterium. Its description in RNAcentral is "bacterial SSU rRNA". It matches the Rfam family "Bacterial small subunit ribosomal RNA", at positions 571 to 1064 of the family's 1533-position model. The record is from RNAcentral.